AAUUGCCCUGUCCUUCAGAAAGUCUAAAGAGUCCCAAGGUACAAAUUCCAUCAAAAAACAAGUCUGAGUCUGUCUUCUGAAUUUGGACUAAAUUUUGAAAAUCCCAAUUUGCAAAUAUAAUAUAGAUUUUCCCUGUCAAGUGUGGAAAUAUUCCAAGUAGGAGAAACAACCCAGCAGAAAGAUAUGGUGUACAGAAUAUUGAAAUAAGCACAAAUUCUUAAAUAAAGUUGAGACAUUUCAUGAUUUUGGAUGAAACAACCCUAGGAAGACAAACUUUUUACUGUCCUCAGCAAGGUAAAAGCUAUUGACAUAACUAGGAAGGAAACUAAGUAAUUAGGGAAGAAAACACCAAACCUUAAUUUGACCCUUUACUUUCAGUGAUUAAUUUAAAAAUACAUAUACAAUAAUAUUGAAAAUCUGGUUUGGAGAAGCAGUAUUCCAUGCCAUGCCCAGACUGCCUCUCUUCCUCUGCAGUAAAUCACUACCCACCACUUUCAGGCUGUGAGGGCAGAGGACGAUUAUUCAUAUUCAACACCCUGUUAACAAGUGUUUGUUCUUGUCCCUCCGCAGUGACUUCACAGAGCUUUAAUUGACAGCACAGAUGUCACAGCUCCUGUCUCCAGCCCAAGCAAUUGUUUGAAAAGCUUCUGAGUUAUUUAACUGCUGGUGUUGACAGGAAGCCGGACAUUUCUGCUCUGAUGAGGGCUUUGUUUUAAGGUCCUGUGGUUUUCCACCCUCAGCAGCAGCCCCUGCUUGGUCACUGCUCCAGUGUAAUCCUGCCUGUGAGAAUUUAGAGCUGCUCUGUUGUGCCAACAUCACAAUGGCCAAUUUACUGCCCUGGCAGGGAGACUGCUAAAAUCUCAGAAAGCUGGUGGUACAAUUUCUCCCCCUUUAUACAUGGCUGCUGAUCACCUGGUGAGCUGGACCUGUGCAGCAAAACCUUCCAGAGAGUCCUUCAGAGAUCUGUACCAGAACCAUGAGAACAGAACUAUCAGAACCAGAGAGAGCAGAGCAACCCAGCCCUGGUUUCACUUGACAACUCAGCUCCUGGGGAGGAGGUGGAGACUUCUUUACCUCUGAUGGUUAAUUAAAAGAAGUUUCUGUACUUGUG
Long non-coding RNA from Passer domesticus (house sparrow), 1111 nucleotides. RefSeq lists it as uncharacterized. The record is from RefSeq and is a predicted model, not a curated record. The transcript has 4 exons. Lineage: Eukaryota; Metazoa; Chordata; Aves; Passeriformes; Passeridae.